AGACCCGAAACCCGGUGAUCUAGCCAUGGGCAGGUUGAAGGUUGGGUAACACUAACUGGAGGACCGAACCGACUAAUGUUGAAAAAUUAGCGGAUGACCUGUGGCUGGGGGUGAAAGGCCAAUCAAACCGGGAGAUAGCUGGUUCUCCCCGAAAGCUAUUUAGGUAGCGCCUCGUGAAUUCAUCUCCGGGGGUAGAGCACUGUUUCGGCUAGGGGGCCAUCCCGGCUUACCAACCCGAUGCAAACUGCGAAUACCGGAGAAUGUUAUCACGGGAGACACACGGCGGGUGCUAACGUCCGUCGUGAAGAGGGAAACAACCCAGACCGCCAGCUAAGGUCCCAAAGUCAUGGUUAAGUGGGAAACGAUGUGGGAAGGCCCAGACAGCCAGGAUGUUGGCUUAGAAGCAGCCAUCAUUUAAAGAAAGCGUAAUAGCUCACUGGUCGAGUCGGCCUGCGCGGAAGAUGUAACGGGGCUAAACCAUGCACCGAAGCUGCGGCAGCGAACGUAUCACUUAAAGCGAUUCAGCGGGUUACGAUUGACGGAGCGAAGCGACGUCAAAGCGUAUACAAAGUCGAGUCGGUUUAAGGAUACGUUCGUUGGGUAGGGGAGCGUUCUGUAAGCCUGCGAAGGUGGCCUGUGAGGGUUGCUGGAGGUAUCAGAAGUGCGAAUGCUGACAUAAGUAACGAUAAAGCGGGUGAAAAGCCCGCUCGCCGGAAGACCAAGGGUUCCUGUCCAACGUUAAUCGGGGCAGGGUGAGUCGACCCCUAAGGCGAGGCCGAAAGGCGUAGUCGAUGGGAAACGGGUUAAUAUUCCCGUACUUGGUGUUACUGCGAAGGGGGGACGGAGAAGGCUAUGUUGGCCGGGCGACGGUUGUCCCGGUUUAAGCGUGUAGGUGUGUGUUCCAGGUAAAUCCGGUUCACUUUAACACUGAGGCGUGACGACGAGGCACUACGGUGCUGAAGCAACAAAUGCCCUGCUUCCAGGAAAAGCCUCUAAGCAUCAGGUAACAUCAAAUCGUACCCCAAACCGACACAGGUGGUCAGGUAGAGAAUACCAAGGCGCUUGAGAGAACUCGGGUGAAGGAACUAGGCAAAAUGGUGCCGUAACUUCGGGAGAAGGCACGCUGACACGUAGGUGAAGUGAUUUACUCAUGGAGCUGAAGUCAGUCGAAGAUACCAGCUGGCUGCAACUGUUUAUUAAAAACACAGCACUGUGCAAA
This 1219-nucleotide ribosomal RNA is filed under the name Salmonella enterica. RNAcentral's name for it is "partial 23S ribosomal RNA". It matches the Rfam family "Bacterial large subunit ribosomal RNA", at positions 711 to 1829 of the family's 2925-position model. Lineage: Bacteria; Pseudomonadati; Pseudomonadota; Gammaproteobacteria; Enterobacterales; Enterobacteriaceae. The record is from RNAcentral.